GAUGAACGCUGGCGGCGUGCCUAAUACAUGCAAGUCGAGCGAACAGAUGAGGAGCUUGCUCCUCUGACGUUAGCGGCGGACGGGUGAGUAACACGUGGAUAACCUACCUAUAAGACUGGGAUAACUUCGGGAAACCGGAGCUAAUACCGGAUAAUAUAUUGAACCGCAUGGUUCAAUAGUGAAAGACGGUUUUGCUGUCACUUAUAGAUGGAUCCGCGCCGCAUUAGCUAGUUGGUAAGGUAACGGCUUACCAAGGCAACGAUGCGUAGCCGACCUGAGAGGGUGAUGGGCCACACUGGAACUGAGACACGGUCCAGACUCCUACGGGAGGCAGCAGUAGGGAAUCUUCCGCAAUGGGCGAAAGCCUGACGGAGCAACGCCGCGUGAGUGAUGAAGGUCUUCGGAUCGUAAAACUCUGUUAUUAGGGAAGAACAAAUGUGUAAGUAACUAUGCACGUCUUGACGGUACCUAAUCAGAAAGCCACGGCUAACUACGUG
This 497-nucleotide ribosomal RNA is filed under the name uncultured bacterium. Its description in RNAcentral is "partial 16S ribosomal RNA". It matches the Rfam family "Bacterial small subunit ribosomal RNA", at positions 28 to 507 of the family's 1533-position model. The record is from RNAcentral.